GACGAACGCUGGCGGCGUGCUUAACACAUGCAAGUCGAACGGAAAGGCCCUGGUUUGCUGGGGUGCUCGAGUGGCGAACGGGUGAGUAACACGUGGGUAACCUGCCCUGCACUUUGGGAUAACUUCGGGAAACUGGGGCUAAUACCGGAUAGGACCACCUGCUGCAUGGUGUGGGGUGGAGAGUUUCGGCGGUGGGGGAUGGACUCGCGGAUUAGCAGGUUGGUGGUGGGGUAGUGGCUUACAAAGGCUUCGACGUGUCGGCGGCCUGAGAGGGUGCGCGGCCACUGUGGGAGUGAGACAGCGCCCACACCUCCAGGGGGCGGAGCAGGGGAGUAUAGUGCACUAUGGGCGGGCGUCUUGCGGAGCCACGCCGUGUGCGGGAUGAGGCCUCGCGUUUUGUAAACCGCUCUCGCCUGUGAAGGCGCGUUAGUGACGGUAACUGGUAAAGAAGCACCGGCUAACUACGUG
RNAcentral lists this ribosomal RNA (468 nucleotides) under uncultured bacterium. RNAcentral describes it as "partial 16S ribosomal RNA". It matches the Rfam family "Bacterial small subunit ribosomal RNA", at positions 28 to 507 of the family's 1533-position model. The record is from RNAcentral.